ACGGGUGAGUAAUACGUAGGAAUCUGCCCUAAAGUGGGGGAUAACCCGGGGAAACUCGGGCUAAUACCGCAUAAUCUUUUCGAAGUAAAGCAGGGGACCGCAAGGCCUUGUGCUUUAGGAUGAGCCUACGUCGGAUUAGCUAGUUGGUAGGGUAAAGGCCUACCAAGGCGACGAUCCGUAACUGGUCUGAGAGGACGAUCAGUCACACUGGAACUGAGACACGGUCCAGACUCCUACGGGAGGCAGCAGUGGGGAAUAUUGGACAAUGGGGGCAACCCUGAUCCAGCAAUGCCGCGUGUGCGAUGAAGGCCUGCGGGUUGUAAAGCACUUUCGGUGGGGAAGAAAUGCUCAAAGAUAAUCUCUUUGAGAGCUGACGUUACCCACAGAAGAAGCACCGGCAAACUCUGUGCCAGCAGCCGCGGUAAUACAGAGGGUGCAAGCGUUAAUCGGAGUUACUGGGCGUAAAGGGCGCGUAGGCGGGUAUUUAAGUCGGAUGUGAAAUCCCUGGGCUUAACCUAGGAAUUGCAUUCGAUACUGAAUAUUCUUGAGUAUGGUAGAGGAAAGUGGAAUUUUCGGU
Molecule: ribosomal RNA, 577 nt
Filed under: uncultured bacterium
Lineage: Bacteria
Description: bacterial SSU rRNA
Rfam family: Bacterial small subunit ribosomal RNA
Source: RNAcentral